This 484-nucleotide ribosomal RNA is filed under the name uncultured bacterium. RNAcentral's name for it is "partial 16S ribosomal RNA". It matches the Rfam family "Bacterial small subunit ribosomal RNA", at positions 28 to 520 of the family's 1533-position model. The record is from RNAcentral.
GACGAACGCUGGCGGCGUGCUUAACACAUGCAAGUCGAACGAUGAACCCGGAGCUUGCUCCGGCGGAUUAGUGGCGAACGGGUGAGUAACACGUGAGUAACCUGCCCUUGACUCUGGGAUAACUGCGGGAAACUGUAGCUAAUACCGGAUACGACCCUCGGCGGCAUCGCCAGGGGGUGGAAAGAAUUUCGGUCAAGGAUGGACUCGCGGCCUAUCAGCUAGUUGGUGAGGUAACGGCUCACCAAGGCGACGACGGGUAGCCGGCCUGAGAGGGUGACCGGCCACACUGGGACUGAGACACGGCCCAGACUCCUACGGGAGGCAGCAGUGGGGAAUAUUGCACAAUGGGCGCAAGCCUGAUGCAGCAACGCCGCGUGAGGGAUGACGGCCUUCGGGUUGUAAACCUCUUUUAGUAGGGAAGAAGCGAAAGUGACGGUACCUGCAGAAAAAGCACCGGCUAACUACGUGCCAACAGCAGCCGCCG